GAUGAAGAACGCAGCGAAAUGCGAUAAGUAAUGUGAAUUGCAGAAUUCAGUGAAUCAUCGAAUGUUUGAACGCACAUUGCGCCCCUUGGUAUUCCGAGGGGCAUGCCCGUUCGAGCGUCAUUAUACCCCUCAAGCCUAGCUUGGUGUUGGGGCCUGCUGUUACCGGCAGCCCUUAAAAUCAGUGGCGGUGCCAUCUGGCUCUAAGCGUAGUAAUACUUCUCGCUACAGGGUCCCGGUGGAUGCUUGCCAUCAACCCCUAAUUUUCUAUGGUUGACCUCGGAUCGGGUAGGGAUACCCGCUGAACUUAAGCAUAUCAAUAAGCGGAGGA
RNAcentral lists this unclassified non-coding RNA (328 nucleotides) under soil metagenome. RNAcentral describes it as "partial contains 5.8S ribosomal RNA, internal transcribed spacer 2, and large subunit ribosomal RNA". The stretch from base 1 to 120 matches the Rfam family "5.8S ribosomal RNA", at positions 35 to 154 of the family's 154-position model. The record is from RNAcentral.